RNAcentral lists this ribosomal RNA (408 nucleotides) under uncultured bacterium. Its description in RNAcentral is "bacterial SSU rRNA". It matches the Rfam family "Bacterial small subunit ribosomal RNA", at positions 355 to 776 of the family's 1533-position model. The record is from RNAcentral.
CUGGGAAUUUUGCGCAAUGGGCGAAAGCCUGACGCAGCAACGCCGCGUGGGGGAUGAAGGCCUUCGGGUUGUAAACCCCUUUUAAUUGGGACGAAAAAAAUGACGGUACCGAUAGAAAAAGCACCGGCUAACUCUGUGCCAGCAGCCGCGGUAAUACAGAGGGUGCAAGCGUUAUUCGGAAUCACUGGGCGUAAAGGGCGCGUAGGCGGUUUAGUAAGUCGGAUGUGAAAUCCCUCGACUCAAUCGAGGAAGGGCAUUGGAAACUACUAGACUAGAGGAUAGGAGAGGAGAGCGGAAUUCCUGGUGUAGAGGUGAAAUUCGUAGAUAUCAGGAGGAACAACGGUGGCGAAGGCGGCUCUCUGGACUAUAUCUGACGCUGAUAGCGCGAAAGCGUGGGGAGCAAACAGG